This 1952-nucleotide long non-coding RNA is filed under the name Homo sapiens (human). RNAcentral describes it as "Pvt1 oncogene, transcript variant 1 (PVT1)". The stretch from base 34 to 211 matches the Rfam family "Pvt1 oncogene conserved region 1". The record is from RNAcentral. Lineage: Eukaryota; Metazoa; Chordata; Mammalia; Primates; Hominidae.
CCCGCGCUCCUCCGGGCAGAGCGCGUGUGGCGGCCGAGCACAUGGGCCCGCGGGCCGGGCGGGCUCGGGGCGGCCGGGACGAGGAGGGGCGACGACGAGCUGCGAGCAAAGAUGUGCCCCGGGACCCCCGGCACCUUCCAGUGGAUUUCCUUGCGGAAAGGAUGUUGGCGGUCCCUGUGACCUGUGGAGACACGGCCAGAUCUGCCCUCCAGCCUGAUCUUUUGGCCAGAAGGAGAUUAAAAAGAUGCCCCUCAAGAUGGCUGUGCCUGUCAGCUGCAUGGAGCUUCGUUCAAGUAUUUUCUGAGCCUGAUGGAUUUACAGUGAUCUUCAGUGGUCUGGGGAAUAACGCUGGUGGAACCAUGCACUGGAAUGACACACGCCCGGCACAUUUCAGGAUACUAAAAGUGGUUUUAAGGGAGGCUGUGGCUGAAUGCCUCAUGGAUUCUUACAGCUUGGAUGUCCAUGGGGGACGAAGGACUGCAGCUGGCUGAGAGGGUUGAGAUCUCUGUUUACUUAGAUCUCUGCCAACUUCCUUUGGGUCUCCCUAUGGAAUGUAAGACCCCGACUCUUCCUGGUGAAGCAUCUGAUGCACGUUCCAUCCGGCGCUCAGCUGGGCUUGAGCUGACCAUACUCCCUGGAGCCUUCUCCCGAGGUGCGCGGGUGACCUUGGCACAUACAGCCAUCAUGAUGGUACUUUAAGUGGAGGCUGAAUCAUCUCCCCUUUGAGCUGCUUGGCACGUGGCUCCCUUGGUGUUCCCCUUUUACUGCCAGGACACUGAGAUUUGGAGAGAGUCUCACUCUGUGGUCCAGGCUGAAGUACAGUGGCAUGAUCCCAGGUCACUGCAACCCCCACCUCCCGGGUUCAAGUGAUCCUCCUGCCUCAGCCUCCCGAGUAGCUGGUAUUACAGGCGUGUGCCACAAAGCCUGGCUAAGUUUUGUAUUUUUAGUAGAGACGGGGUUUCACCAUGUUGGCCAGGUUGGUCUCGAACUCCUGACCUCAAGUGAUCCACUCACUUUGGCCUUUCAACGUGCUGGGAUUACAGGCGAGAGUCACCGCACCCGGACGACUCUGACAUUUUUGAAGAGUCCAGAAUCCUGUUACACCUGGGAUUUAGGCACUUUCAAUCUGAAAAAAUACAUAUCCUUUCAGCACUCUGGACGGACUUGAGAACUGUCCUUACGUGACCUAAAGCUGGAGUAUUUUGAGAUUGGAGAAUUAAGAGCCAGUCUUGGUGCUCUGUGUUCACCUGGUUCAUCUGAGGAGCUGCAUCUACCCUGCCCAUGCCAUAGAUCCUGCCCUGUUUGCUUCUCCUGUUGCUGCUAGUGGACAUGAGAAGGACAGAAUAACGGGCUCCCAGAUUCACAAGCCCCACCAAGAGGAUCACCCCAGGAACGCUUGGAGGCUGAGGAGUUCACUGAGGCUACUGCAUCUUGAGACUCAGGAUGAAGACCCAGCUUGGGGCUGUCAAAGAGGCCUGAAGAGGCAGAACACCCCAGAGGAGCCUGGGGCCACCACCCAGCAUCACUGUGGGAAAACGGCAGCAGGAAAUGUCCUCUCGCCUGCGUGCUCCACCUCGGUCCACGCCUUCCCUCCUUCUGGAAGCCUUGCCUGACCACUGGCCUGCCCCUUCUAUGGGAAUCACUACUGACCUUGCAGCUUAUUAUAGACUUAUAUGUUUUUUGCAUGUCUGACACCCAUGACUCCACCUGGACCUUAUGGCUCCACCCAGAAGCAAUUCAGCCCAACAGGAGGACAGCUUCAACCCAUUACGAUUUCAUCUCUGCCCCAACCACUCAGCAGCAAGCACCUGUUACCUGUCCACCCCCACCCCUUCCCCCAAACUGCCUUUGAAAAAUCCCUAACCUAUGAGCUUUGAAUAAGAUGAGUACGAACUUCAUCGCCCACGUGGCGUGGCCGGCCUCGUGUCUAUUAAAUUCUUUUUCUACUACAA